GAUGAACGCUGGCGGCGUGCCUAAUACAUGCAAGUCGAGCGAACAGACGAGGAGCUUGCUCCUCUGACGUUAGCGGCGGACGGGUGAGUAACACGUGGAUAACCUACCUAUAAGACUGGGAUAACUUCGGGAAACCGGAGCUAAUACCGGAUAAUAUAUUGAACCGCAUGGUUCAAUAGUGAAAGACGGUUUUGCUGUCACUUAUAGAUGGAUCCGCGUCGCAUUAGCUAGUUGGUAAGGUAACGGCUUACCAAGGCAACGAUGCGUAGCCGACCUGAGAGGGUGAUCGGCCACACUGGAACUGAGACACGGUCCAGACUCCUACGGGAGGCAGCAGUAGGGAAUCUUCCGCAAUGGGCGAAAGCCUGACGGAGCAACGCCGCGUGAGUGAAGAAGGUCUUCGGAUCGUAAAACUCUGUUAUUAGGGAAGAACAAAUGUGUAAGUAACUAUGCACGUCUUGACGGUACCUAAUCAGAAAGCCACGGCUAACUACGUG
RNAcentral lists this ribosomal RNA (497 nucleotides) under uncultured bacterium. Its description in RNAcentral is "partial 16S ribosomal RNA". It matches the Rfam family "Bacterial small subunit ribosomal RNA", at positions 28 to 507 of the family's 1533-position model. The record is from RNAcentral.